This 468-nucleotide ribosomal RNA is filed under the name uncultured bacterium. RNAcentral describes it as "partial 16S ribosomal RNA". It matches the Rfam family "Bacterial small subunit ribosomal RNA", at positions 28 to 507 of the family's 1533-position model. The record is from RNAcentral.
GACGAACGCUGGCGGCGUGCUUAACACAUGCAAGUCGAACGGAAAGGCCCUGCUUUCGUGGGGUGCUCGAGUGGCGAACGGGUGUGUAACACGUGUGUAACCUGCCCUUGACUUUGGGAUAACUUGAGGAAACUGGGGCUAAUACCGGAUAGGAGCUCCUGCUGCAUGGUGGGGGUUGGAGAGUUUCGGCGGUUGGGGAUGGACUCGCGGCUUAUCAGCUUGUUGGUGGGGUAGUGGCUUACCAGGGCUUUGACGGGUAGCCGGCCUGAGAGGGUGACCGGCCACAUUGGGACUGAGAUACGGCCCAGACUCCUACGGGAGGCAGCAGUGGGGAAUAUUGCACAAUGGGCGGAAGCCUGAUGCAGCAACGCCGCGUGCGGGAUGACGGCCUUCGGGUUGUAAACCGCUUUCGCCUGUGACGAAGCGUGAGUGACGGUAAUGGGUAAAGAAGCACCGGCUAACUACGUG